Molecule: ribosomal RNA, 376 nt
Filed under: uncultured organism
Description: partial 16S ribosomal RNA
Rfam family: Bacterial small subunit ribosomal RNA
Source: RNAcentral
GUAGGUGGCAAGCGUUGUCCGGGAAUUAUUGGGGCGUAAAGCGCGCGCAGGCGGUUCUUUAAGUCUGAUGUGAAAGCCCACGGGCUCAACCGUGGAGGGUCAUUGGAAACUGGAGAACUUGAGUACAGAAGAGGAAAGCGGAAUUCCACGUGUAGCGGUGAAAUGCGUAGAGAUGUGGAGGAACACCAGUGGCGAAGGCGGCUUUCUGGUCUGUAACUGACGCUGAGGCGCGAAAGCGUGGGGAGCAAACAAGAUUAGAUACCCUGGUAGUCCACGCCGUAAACGAUGAGUGCUAAGUGUUAGGGGGUUUCCGCCCCUUAGUGCUGCAGCUAACGCAUUAAGCACUCCGCCUGGGGAGUACGGCCGCAAAGGCUGA